Molecule: ribosomal RNA, 253 nt
Filed under: uncultured bacterium
Lineage: Bacteria
Description: partial 16S ribosomal RNA
Rfam family: Bacterial small subunit ribosomal RNA
Source: RNAcentral
UACGUAGGGGGCAAGCGUUGUCCGGAAUUAUUGGGCGUAAAGAGCGUGUAGGCGGUCCGGUAAGUCAGCUGUGAAAGUCAAGGGCUCAACCCUUGAAUGCCGGUUGAUACUGUCGGGCUAGAGUCCGGAAGAGGCGAGUGGAAUUCCCGGUGUAGCGGUGAAAUGCGCAGAUAUCAGGAGGAACACCAAUAGCGAAGGCAGCUCGCUGGGACGGUACUGACGCUGAGGCGCGAAAGCGUGGGGAGCGAACAGG